CUAACAUGAGGAAUUAUUGCACUGGGCACUGAAUAUUUUGUGAGUGACAACGCAUUUAUGGUGGGCCUCAGAAACCCACUGUUACUGAUCCU
Molecule: small nucleolar RNA, 92 nt
Filed under: Debaryomyces hansenii
Lineage: Eukaryota; Fungi; Ascomycota; Pichiomycetes; Serinales; Debaryomycetaceae
Source: RNAcentral